CCUACGGGAGGCUGCAGUGGGGAAUAUUGCACAAUGGGGGAAACCCUGAUGCAGCAACGCCGCGUGAGUGAAGAAGUAUUUCGGUAUGUAAAGCUCUAUCAGCAGUGAAUUGACGGUACCUGCAUAGGAAGCACCGGCUAACUCCGUGCCAGCAGCCGCGGUAAUCAGGAGGGUGCGAGCGUUAAUCGGAAUUACUGGGCGUAAAGCGCUCGUAGGCGGUAUGUCAAGUCAAGGGUGAAAUCCCCGCGCUCAACGUGGGAACUGCCUUUGAAACUGGCAAACUUGAGUGUGUGAGAGGAUAGUGGAAUUCGAGGUGUAGGAGUGAAAUCCGUAGAUAUCUGGAGGAACAUCAGUGGCGAAGGCGACUAUCUGGCACGUAACUGACGCUGAGGAGCGAAAGCGUGGGUAGCAAACAGGAUUAGAUACCCGUGUAGUC
This 436-nucleotide ribosomal RNA is filed under the name uncultured bacterium. Its description in RNAcentral is "partial 16S ribosomal RNA". It matches the Rfam family "Bacterial small subunit ribosomal RNA", at positions 338 to 795 of the family's 1533-position model. The record is from RNAcentral.